RNAcentral lists this ribosomal RNA (253 nucleotides) under uncultured bacterium. RNAcentral's name for it is "partial 16S ribosomal RNA". It matches the Rfam family "Bacterial small subunit ribosomal RNA", at positions 524 to 776 of the family's 1533-position model. The record is from RNAcentral.
UACAGAGGGGGCCAGCGUUGUUCGGAAUUACUGGGCGUAAAGGGCUCGUAGGCGGCCAACUAAGUCAGACGUGAAAUCCCUCAGCUUAACUGGGGAACUGCGUCUGAUACUGGAUGGCUUGGAUUUGGGAGAGGGAUGCGGAAUUCCAGGUGUAGCGGUGAAAUGCGUAGAUAUCUGGAGGAACACCGGUGGCGAAGGCGGCAUCCUGGACCAACAUUGACGCUGAGGAGCGAAAGCUAGGGGAGCAAACGGG